GAGGGUUUAGCUCAGUGGUAGAGCACAUGAUUAGCAUGCACAAGGUCCUGGGUCCAAUCCCCAGUGCCUCCA
This 72-nucleotide transfer RNA is filed under the name Camelus dromedarius (Arabian camel). It matches the Rfam family "tRNA". From Rfam's summary of the family: Transfer RNA (tRNA) molecules are approximately 80 nucleotides in length. Their secondary structure includes four short double-helical elements and three loops (D, anti-codon, and T loops). RNAcentral also lists the same sequence under 1 other name. The record is from Rfam by way of RNAcentral. Lineage: Eukaryota; Metazoa; Chordata; Mammalia; Artiodactyla; Camelidae.